GUGGCGGACGGGUGAGUAACACGUGGGUAACCUGCCCUUAAGUGGGGGAUAACAUUUGGAAACAGAUGCUAAUACCGCAUAGAUCCAAGAACCGCAUGGUUCUUGGCUGAAAGAUGGCGUAAGCUAUCGCUUUUGGAUGGACCCGCGGCGUAUUAGCUAGUUGGUGAGGUAAUGGCUCACCGAGGCGAUGAUACGUAGCCGAACUGAGAGGUUGAUCGGCCACAUUGGGACUGAGACACGGCCCAAACUCCUACGGGAGGCAGCAGUAGGGAAUCUUCCACAAUGGACGCAAGUCUGAUGGAGCAACGCCGCGUGAGUGAAGAAGGCUUUCGGGUCGUAAAACUCUGUUGUUGGAGAAGAAUGGUCGGCAGAGUAACUGUUGUCGGCGUGACGGUAUCCAACCAGAAAGCCACGGCUAACUACGUGCCAGCAGCCGCGGUAAUACGUAGGUGGCAAGCGUUAUCCGGAUUUAUUGGGCGUAAAGCGAGCGCAGGCGGUUUUUUAAGUCUGAUGUGAAAGCCCUCGGCUUAACCGAGGAAGCGCAUCGGAAACUGGGAAACUUGAGUGCAGAAGAGGACAGUGGAACUCCAUGUGUAGCGGUGAAAUGCGUAGAUAUAUGGAAGAACACCAGUGGCGAAGGCGGCUGUCUGGUCUGUAACUGACGCUGAGGCUCGAAAGCAUGGGUAGCGAACAGGAUUAGAUACCCUGGUAGUCCAUGCCGUAAACGAUGAAUGCUAGGUGUUGGAGGGUUUCCGCCCUUCAGUGCCGCAGCUAACGCAUUAAGCA
This 786-nucleotide ribosomal RNA is filed under the name uncultured bacterium. RNAcentral describes it as "bacterial SSU rRNA". It matches the Rfam family "Bacterial small subunit ribosomal RNA", at positions 95 to 866 of the family's 1533-position model. The record is from RNAcentral.